CUAAAAUGCAUUAGCUGGAUCUGAAGGUCGGCGAUCCUCAGUGUGAUAAUUAUCUACGCUGUUGUAUUCCACCUGCAUGAGGUGCUACCGUCCUUAAGGAUGUGUAGCCCCCUAUGGAGAUCACGCUUCUAACCGUCUGUAAUGGACAAAAACACUUGACAUCUGACCUCAAAUCAGGUAGGACUACCCGCUGAACUUAA
This 200-nucleotide unclassified non-coding RNA is filed under the name soil metagenome. RNAcentral's name for it is "partial contains internal transcribed spacer 2 and large subunit ribosomal RNA". The record is from RNAcentral.